UGUACAUUGUGGUAAACGGUAUCGCGAUUAGAUGAGAGGGAUAGAAGAAAAUGAGAACAUGAUUCCCUGCGACAUUAGGGCGGUGUACGUAAUAGUGUGUGAGUGGUUUGUCAGUUGGUGACUACUAUAUCCGUGUUAGUACUAUCGAUAAUUCAACACAACCAAGAGGGACACACUCCAAAGAAGAUAAGGACAUUUAUUUCUCAUCUUUGGCAUAUCUCUUUGUGGAUAAACGGAAGAAAAAGAAGAGGACAGAAGGAAGAGAAAUCCUUAUUUUACGUUCAUUUUCAAUCUUCGAGGAUUAUCCUCCUCCUCCCCCCCUCUUCCAUUCGAAUGGCAGAAAGAAUUGAUAUUACUUCAUUGGUAAAAUUUGUGUUUACCGAUUUCUUUCGUAAUAUCGUAAUACACGAGAAAAGACGCAGCUCUUACUGACGUCGAUGACGUACCAUGCACGAGAGAAAGUCCCGUCGAAAUUAAAGCACUUUUACGUUCGUCCAAGUAGAGAGAGAGAGAGAGAGA
Molecule: long non-coding RNA, 519 nt
Filed under: Polistes fuscatus (common paper wasp)
Lineage: Eukaryota; Metazoa; Arthropoda; Insecta; Hymenoptera; Vespidae
Description: uncharacterized LOC122525501
Source: RNAcentral